RNAcentral lists this ribosomal RNA (870 nucleotides) under Triticum aestivum (bread wheat). Its description in RNAcentral is "partial small subunit ribosomal RNA". Lineage: Eukaryota; Viridiplantae; Streptophyta; Magnoliopsida; Poales; Poaceae. The record is from RNAcentral.
AUGAACGAUAUUUGUCAUAGUGCUGAACUUUUGUACUUAACUUGCAGCAAGUAUGAUGCCUAUUUGUCUUCAAUUGGCCAUGGGACUAAGUUAGAGAUUAGUCGCACUCGCCAUGUGAAAUUCCAUGAGUGGUUUAAAUCCCAUGUGGCACAACUAGUUGCGAAUGGUGAAGAUAUUUCUGAAGAGAUUCGAACUUUAGCUAAUGGGCCCUUCUUAGCUACAAGGAAAUGUAAUAGCUAUACCAUAGAUGGGUACAAUUUCCACACAAAGUCCUAUGAUGAGGGUAGACAUACCCAAAGCAGUGGGGUUGCUCUUGUCUCUCAAAUUCUGUCGCCCUCAUGUGAAGAUAGUGAAAAUCUUAUGGUCACAAAUAAAAUAUAUUAUGGUGUGAUAACCGAAAUUCUUGAGUUAAAUUAUAACAACAAAGGAAGUAUUGUGCUUUUCAAAUGUGAUUGGGUUGACAACCGUGCACAAGACAAGUGGGUUCAAGUUGAUUAUUUGGGUGCCACGCGUGUGAACUUCAAGCAUUCACUCAAGUCUGAUGAAUCUUUUAUUUUGGCAUCUCAAGCAACUCAAGUGUACUAUGUGCAAGAUGAUCUUGAUAAAGAUUGGUGUUUUGUUAGAAGUUUUCCACAUCCACGAGACCUUUAUGAUAUGUUUGAAGCGGAAGAUGGUGCUUAUGACCAGCAUGAUGCACCUAGUGUACCAAUCCCUGAUCUAGAUGCCAAUGUAGAUCUCAGUGUUGAUGUUAGAAAUAUACCUCAUAGUAGGACAGAUAUGGAUGGAACACUUGUUCGUGCAAUUCAUCAACCAAAGUGUGUGUCUUUUCCUUACAUUUUUCAGUUAUAUGCUUACCUACUUGACAUCUAA